Molecule: non-coding RNA, 29 nt
Filed under: Homo sapiens (human)
Lineage: Eukaryota; Metazoa; Chordata; Mammalia; Primates; Hominidae
Source: RNAcentral
UGGAAAUAUGUGUAACACAGGCUUGUAGU